RNAcentral lists this long non-coding RNA (763 nucleotides) under Canis lupus dingo (dingo). RNAcentral describes it as "lncRNA (ENSCAFG00020018363.1)". Lineage: Eukaryota; Metazoa; Chordata; Mammalia; Carnivora; Canidae. The record is from RNAcentral.
GGAGAAACUCCAAUUCUUGAGAAACCCCAAUUCUUGAGGUAACUAAAAGUAGACGUUCAGAAGAUCAGGGCUUCUUCACAGAAGCCUUAAGGACUACAAAUAACAUGGGUUCUGUUUUUCAGGCAACAAGACUAUCAACUCUGAGGUUUAAAUAAAGGCUGAAUUUAUCUCGUUUAGCAAGGAAUAUUGGAACAUGGUUUAACUAAGGAUUGCUUGAUCGAGAUUUAUAUACUUUUCUGGUUCAGUUUUCAGGUUGAAGGUGCCCCAUUUCCCCUCCAGAGGGGUCUGCCUUCCUAAAGGUACACCGUGCCCUCCCGUUCUUCCAGGUUGCCCACUGUACACUCCGAAGAGAACCGUGACGAACUUGCCCUCUUGGGUCUUGAGUUGCCCAGAUGCGUGUUGCUGUCGCUGCAGCGGAAGACCUUCAUCCUACUGCUCACUCCUCGGCUCGACAAAAGCAAUUUUUCACUCCCGGGCUUUGCAGGGGCCAGACCCAGGUGCCUGCAGCUCGGGCGCCCUAAAAGAGGAAACCUGUUCCCCUCCUCCCAGGUUUCUGGUUUCUCCACCCCACCUCCCCGCAGCCCUCCGCUCCCUGCACCCAGGGCUUCCGGCCUCCACCCCGACAUUCCAGGUAACCUGACUCCCCCGACGGCAGAGGCGGGGGCCGGUGCCGGGAGGGCGCGGCCACGUGACCUCCCCGCCCGCCGGGAGCGCGCGCCCCACUCGGGGAACCGGGGGAGCCCAGCGCCCUGCUUAGAGACCG